RNAcentral lists this ribosomal RNA (492 nucleotides) under uncultured bacterium. RNAcentral's name for it is "bacterial SSU rRNA". It matches the Rfam family "Bacterial small subunit ribosomal RNA", at positions 32 to 507 of the family's 1533-position model. The record is from RNAcentral.
AACGCUGGCGGCGUGCCUAAUACAUGCAAGUUGAGCGCUGAAGGUUGGUACUUGUACCGACUGGAUGAGCAGCGAACGGGUGAGUAACGCGUGGGGAAUCUGCCUUUGAGCGGGGGACAACAUUUGGAAACGAAUGCUAAUACCGCAUAAAACUUUAAACACAAGUUUUAAGUUUGAAAGAUGCAAUUGCAUCACUCAAAGAUGAUCCCGCGUUGUAUUAGCUAGUUGGUGAGGUAAAGGCUCACCAAGGCGAUGAUACAUAGCCGACCUGAGAGGGUGAUCGGCCACAUUGGGACUGAGACACGGCCCAAACUCCUACGGGAGGCAGCAGUAGGGAAUCUUCGGCAAUGGACGAAAGUCUGACCGAGCAACGCCGCGUGAGUGAAGAAGGUUUUCGGAUCGUAAAACUCUGUUGGUAGAGAAGAACGUUGGUGAGAGUGGAAAGCUCAUCAAGUGACGGUAACUACCCAGAAAGGGACGGCUAACUACGUG